UAGGGAAUCUUCCGCAAUGGACGCAAGUCUGACGGAGCAACGCCGCGUGAGUGAAGAAGGAUUUCGGUUCGUAAAACUCUGUUGUUAGAGAAGAACAGCGCAUAGAGUAACUGUUAUGCGUGUGACGGUAUCUAACCAGAAAGCCACGGCUAACUACGUGCCAGCAGCCGCGGUAAUACGUAGGUGGCAAGCGUUGUCCGGAUUUAUUGGGCGUAAAGCGAGCGCAGGCGGUCAAUUAAGUCUGAUGUGAAAGCCCCCGGCUCAACCGGGGAGGGUCAUUGGAAACUGGUUGACUUGAGUGCAGAAGAGGGGAGUAGAAUUCCAUGUGUAGCGGUGAAAUGCGUAGAUAUAUGGAGGAACACCAGUGGCGAAGGCGACUCUCUGGUCUGUAACUGACGCUGAGGCUCGAAAGCGUGGGUAGCAAACAGG
This 429-nucleotide ribosomal RNA is filed under the name Bacteroidota bacterium. RNAcentral describes it as "Bacteroidetes bacterium partial 16S ribosomal RNA". It matches the Rfam family "Bacterial small subunit ribosomal RNA", at positions 355 to 776 of the family's 1533-position model. The record is from RNAcentral. Lineage: Bacteria; Pseudomonadati; Bacteroidota.